This 329-nucleotide unclassified non-coding RNA is filed under the name Hevea brasiliensis (rubber tree). Lineage: Eukaryota; Viridiplantae; Streptophyta; Magnoliopsida; Malpighiales; Euphorbiaceae. The record is from RNAcentral.
UUAUUAUGAUGGGUAAAGAAUACAUGAUGAGCUUUGCUUUGAAUCCGUAGAAUGACCGAUUAGGUACAACUUUGGCUCUUUGGGUAAGAUUCAAGACAAGGGCUGUCAAACAAAACCCUUGACAAAUAGCAAUACAAUUUUGUUUAUUUCUUUCUAUAAGCGAUCAUGUUCAUGGGCAGACCUAGCUUCUGUAAUGGCGAUUUUUUUAAUAGUAUUUCAAUGCUUGGCAGACCUCAUGUCGCUUUCGUUCUAUGAGGGCUGGGACACAAGAGUCACCAUAUGGGUCUGCUAUUGCUCGUGCUGCCAAAAUGAUCCCGAUCACCCAACCC